GUUUGAUCCUGGCUCAGAUUGAACGCUGGUGGUAUGCUUAACACAUGCAAGUCGAACGGUAACAGAAAGAGCUUGCUCUUUGCUGACGAGUGGCGGACGGGUGAGUAACGCGUAGGAAUCUACCUAUCUGUGGGGGAUACCGUUUGGAAACGAACGUUAAUACCGCAUAAUAUCUUCGGAUUAAAAGUGGCGCUUGCGCUGCUGCGGAUAGAUGAGCCUGCGUUAGAUUAGCUUGUUGGUGGGGUAAAGGCCUACCAAGGCUGCGAUCUAUAGCUGAUUUGAGAGGAUGAUCAGCCACAUUGGAACUGAGACACGGUCCAAACUCCUACGGGAGGCAGCAGUGGGGAAUAUUGGACAAUGGGCGGAAGCCUGAUCCAGCAAUACCAUGUGUGUGAAGAAGGCUCUAGGGUUGUAAAGCACUUUAGUCAGGGAGGAAGUUUAUUUGGUUAAUAGCUGAAUAAAUUGACGUUACCUGAAGAAUAAGCACCGGCUAACUCCGUGCCAGCAGCCGC
This 512-nucleotide ribosomal RNA is filed under the name Moneuplotes crassus. RNAcentral describes it as "partial Bacterial small subunit ribosomal RNA". It matches the Rfam family "Bacterial small subunit ribosomal RNA", at positions 11 to 518 of the family's 1533-position model. Lineage: Eukaryota; Ciliophora; Spirotrichea; Euplotida; Euplotidae. The record is from RNAcentral.